UGCGCAGGCGGAAAAUUAAGUCAGAAGUGAAAGCCCCGAGCUCAACUUGGGAACUGCUUUUGAUACUGAUUUUCUUGAAUAUAGUUGAGGUAGGCAGAAUACAACAUGUAGCGGUGAAAUGCAUAGAUAUGUUGUAGAACACCAAUUGCGAAGGCAGCUUACUAAACUAUUAUUGACGCUGAGGCACGAAAGCGUGGGGAGCGAACAGGAUUAGAUACCCUGGUAGUCC
This 229-nucleotide ribosomal RNA is filed under the name uncultured bacterium. RNAcentral's name for it is "partial 16S ribosomal RNA". It matches the Rfam family "Bacterial small subunit ribosomal RNA", at positions 568 to 796 of the family's 1533-position model. The record is from RNAcentral.